UCUUUUGGAGAGUUUGAUCCUGGCUCAGGACGAACGCUGGCGGCGUGCCUAAUACAUGCAAGUCGAGCGGACCGG
Molecule: ribosomal RNA, 75 nt
Filed under: Geobacillus zalihae
Lineage: Bacteria; Bacillati; Bacillota; Bacilli; Caryophanales; Anoxybacillaceae
Description: partial 16S ribosomal RNA
Rfam family: Bacterial small subunit ribosomal RNA
Source: RNAcentral